UUUUGUCUUUGAGAGUAAACAGAUUUAAAUGAAACCGACAUCUUUUAUAAGGGAUUGUGACUGUUCUGAUUUGAAUGGCAAGCCCCCUUGCGAGGGGACGUCAGACAUCUUAGACAACGAACCCACCUUCACGUACUGAAGGUUUUCAUUUGUCGUUUACCGCUCAAAGAUACUAA
RNAcentral lists this non-coding RNA (176 nucleotides) under Bacillota bacterium. RNAcentral's name for it is "6S RNA". It matches the Rfam family "6S / SsrS RNA". From Rfam's summary of the family: E. coli 6S RNA was the first non coding RNA to be sequenced, but its function was unknown until recently. It consists of 184 nucleotides that fold into an extended hairpin structure with a large single-stranded internal bulge. The record is from RNAcentral. RNAcentral also lists the same sequence under 2 other names. Lineage: Bacteria; Bacillati; Bacillota.